Molecule: ribosomal RNA, 589 nt
Filed under: Bacillus pumilus
Lineage: Bacteria; Bacillati; Bacillota; Bacilli; Caryophanales; Bacillaceae
Description: bacterial SSU rRNA
Rfam family: Bacterial small subunit ribosomal RNA
Source: RNAcentral
UUCCUUGAACCGCAUGGUUCAAGGAUGAAAGACGGUUUCGGCUGUCACUUACAGAUGGACCCGCGGCGCAUUACCUAGUUGGUGGGGUAAUGGCUCACCAAGGCAACAAUGCGUACCCGACCUGAGAGGGUGAUCGGCCACACUGGGACUAAAACGGGGCCAAACUUAAGGGGAAGAACAAAAGGAAAUCUUCCCCAAUGGACGAAAGUCUGACGGAGACACCCCCGUGAGUGAUGAAGGUUUUCGGAUCGUAAAGCUCUGUUGUUAGGGAAGAACAAGUGCGAAAGUAACUGCUCGCACCUUGACGGUACCUAACCAGAAAAGCCACGGCUAACUACGUGCCAGCAGCCGCGGUAAUACGUAGGUGGCAAGCGUUGUCCGGAAUUAUUGGGCGUAAAGGGCUCGCAGGCGGUUUCUUAAGUCUGAUGUGAAAGCCCCCGGCUCAACCGGGGGAGGGUCAUUGGAAAACUGGGAAACUUGAGUGCAGAAGAAGAAGAGUGAAUUCCCCCGUGUAAGCGGUGAAAUGCCUAAAGAAUGUGGAAGGAACACCAGUGGCGAAGGCGACUCUUCUGGUCCUGUAACUGACGCU